This 477-nucleotide long non-coding RNA is filed under the name Setaria italica (foxtail millet). RNAcentral describes it as "long non-coding RNA (SITA_LNC000228)". Lineage: Eukaryota; Viridiplantae; Streptophyta; Magnoliopsida; Poales; Poaceae. The record is from RNAcentral.
GAUGCUUCUCCAGUCCAAAGCCCAGGCAAGACAAGAUGCCUUCUCCAGCUGUAGGCUUGACCGCCACGUGUCACUCUCAGGCAGCCGUUGACCUCAAUUAGCCCCCCCUUAAUCAGCGGCUACAGGAGGUCUCCUCCAGCUGCCAUUAAAUAAACUAACAACGUUAACAGCAUGAGACAGUGCAAGCAAAGUGGAAGAUGAUGGCACACUGAAAGAUCAGUUGUUCUUGCAUUUGUAAUUAGCUGCAGCGUCCAAAUGCAUCCAACAAAAUAUACUAUUUUUUUUUCUUCCAGAGAUGGGUCACAAAUCAUGACAUCUACUACUUUAUAAUCACUCACCUGAAGAAUUAGGACAAGUAUUAAACUUGAGCUGCAGAGUCAAACCUAGAGUGAUUAACCACCUCUCCUCCCUCUUCUCUCUCCUCUCCUUCUCACUCCCUUUGUCUUGCAGUCCUCUAGCUGCUCUGUUCCUCUCUCC